ACUGCCAACAGAUCUGGACUUUGACUUCAGUCUAGCGGAAACGGACACCUGAAAAUGAGCCCAGCUGAGCAUCUACUUGCUGACACAUUAGCUGUGAAAACUCUGACAAACCUGCAGAGCCAUAUGAUGUCACAUGGCAAAUAUUUGGUGCCAUCACGCAUACUAUGGUUCUUCCUGUUCAGAAGCAGUAUGGGGCCAGGAAGCCAUUGAGCUAAAACACCACAUACUGCUUUGAAAGUUAAGGAAGCGUUAAGGAGGUGAAAAAUAGGUGAUAACUUAAUGCGGUGCUUGCUGGUUGUCCAUGGGGAGGCAUAAACUUGAUCCAGGAUCUGGAAUACAGCCAAGAAAACUGCUGAGAAGAUGGAUCCUUCGUAUCACAUGCUGAAGGUCAUUGUGGGACCCAUUGCAGACUUGUCUGUGGGCUCUAGCUCCAUCUCUGUAGGCACCAGUGUCUCCCUAUAUAGGAACCACUGUGUUAGACACCAGGAAUCAGUACUGUCAGCUUUUCAAGUGAGAGAAAGGUACUUGCAAUUAAAAACUGCAGACGUGGUGAGUGUUACAAAAUAAAAAAGAGAUGGGGCAGUGGAUGAAGGAACUGUCCUGAAAGAAACACUUGGAUUCCUGCCACCCAUAGACCUAUCAGAAACAAGCAAAAAAAAUCAAGAAUAGGAACAGAACUGAAUCAAGUCCUACUACAACAGGUCUCUCUGUUGGGGUGGUAGCAGUGCAUCUCUUGUCGUUGGUCCAUUAGCUUGCAUGCUGCUCUGAUUACUGAUGGCAUCAACAUUUUAUUCAGGACAGUGCGCAUGCAGGGAGGAGGGAGGGUGAUUUUGCUUGCUGCAGCUUGCAGGAACGCUCUGGGUCUUCAUAUUCCUGUACUGCAAUCCAUUACUUCCAGAAGAAACAUUGGACUUAUUCACAAGCAUUUGCUCUUGGGCUUGCGGAUUAAAGGUGGCUUGCAGGUCCCUACCCUUUGGCCUGCUUCUUGAAAGGAAAGAGGCACACUGCGUGCUGUAGGCUAAUCAUAUGUGCUGGACUGAUGCAACUGGCACUGGAUUGCAAAGGACAGACUGGCCAGGAUGGAGCUGGCUCCUCCAGCAGCAGCCGUUAUCCCUGUAGCUCCGUUUCUGAUUGCAUGGCAGCAACCACAAUCUCACCUCAUCUUUCUCCUCCUCCCCUGCAGCACCCCAGACCUGACCCCUGGGGCUGAUGAGGAGAAGGUGAGGGCUUGCUAGGGAUGCAGGGGGAGAAGGUCAAGCAACUCCAGGUAUGGAUUCAGGAGGGAGAGGGUGCAUUGCAGAGUGGGAAUGAACAAUCCCAAAUCCCAGGUCCAGCUGCUGGCUUCUGAAAUCAGACUCCUCCCUAGUCAGGAAGGUCAGCAAUGGACAUCAUUGUUCAAAUUACAGUGACAGAAAACCUAGUUAAACACAAGUGAUGAGAAAAACCUGGUGGGAGGAGGUCAGAAGGAGGAACAAACUUCUUAAACUUACUGGACAAAGCCUGACUGGCAGUUUCCCUGCUUGGCCCAGUGUAAGGGAAAAGGUGCAAGAUGUGCAUCUCCUUCCAGAGGUCAUGUUCUUAAGCAGUCUUUUGAAAGGAUUUACACAAGCUGAAUAGCCAUAUUUUAUUUCUCUAAUAAUACUAGUAUUUGUAACGAACUACCAUAAAACCCGUAGUAUAAAAUACUGUGGCACACUACUCAGGAUUCCUCACAGCAAUGAGUGUCCACGUGACCUGGUUACGUUUUUAUGUGCCAGGAGCCUGGUUGCUGUAGGAGGUAUUAAAUAACAGUGAACAUAAUGAAAUGUUAUAAUGUAUGAGCCUGGAUGGAUGGGUCAUUUCCAAGCAGACAUCCCAUCAGCAGCAGGAUUAGGGCUUCUAACAGGCUCUAUGUCACAGGGCCUUUUUGCUCUCCUGAGCUUUUAGGUAAAGUAGCUUUUUAAUUGCUUCUUCCUCAGGCACAUUAGAAAUUUCUUAGUGCAUAUGUCUCUUAGCUGAAUAGGUUGGUACUUGGCCAACCUUGGUCAUAGAAUUUUAUUGAACAAACCUCAUGCUGUUUGCUGCAGUAAAGGGUGAUCAUUGCCGACAUAUAUUAUGUAGUAGAGGAGUUGUCGUUCAAACACUGUGUUCAAUAAAGGUGACUGAACAACCAUGGCUACAACAUUGGCCUAAAUAUAAAACCUAUCUGUUGCAAGUUUCUCUUUUUCUACCUAGUGUUGUAAAUUAUGAGAUGGAGUGUAACAUUUAUUUUACAGGCCAGAAGAAAAAUAACUUAAAUAAUAAUAUUCAUUAUUAAAAGCCCUCCCGCCAUUUUUCAUUCUUUAUUCAAAAAACAAACCAACAAAAACAACAAACAAAACAA
This is a long non-coding RNA of Pseudopipra pipra, 2362 nucleotides long. RefSeq lists it as uncharacterized. The transcript is spliced from 3 exons. The record is from RefSeq and is a predicted model, not a curated record. Lineage: Eukaryota; Metazoa; Chordata; Aves; Passeriformes; Pipridae.